AUGAAGGGUGCGAUUAUGGAGUAUAGGGAGCAGGUGGAGACAGGGCAGGCUCCUCAACUUCGCAUGAUUGCACGUGCAUGGAAUGUGCCAAAAAGCACCCUCCAGCGGAGGGUCAAGAAUCAUGUACAAGGCUACAAGCAUGCUUCGGGUCGCAAACCAGUCUUACCUAAAGAGAGUGAGGCAGAGUUGGUUAAGAUGAUCAAGACCCUUUCCAAGAGAGGUUUCCCACUUAGAAGAAAGGAGAUCCAGUUGCUUGCCUACCAAUACGCACAAGCAAACAACUUGCCUGGAUUUUCAGAAAAAAAAAAGAGGGCUGAGCAGUACUGGUUUGAAAAUUUUAUGCGCCGAAAUCCUGACCUCAGCCAAAGGAAACCGGAGGCCCUCUCUGCUGCAAGAGCAGCAGGGAUUAACCCCACAGCAAUUGAGAAAUGGUUCCAGCAGUAUCAAGAUCUUCUUACUGAGCUGGGAAUCAAGGAUGUGCCUUCCCACAUUUGGAAUUGCGAUGAGACAGGAAUGCAGGACCAUUUUCUAUCAGCCACUGUGAUUUCAGAGGUGGGGAGUGCUUGCUACGAGAUAACGUCAGGCGAAAAGGGGGAGACGACAACAGCUUUGGCCAGCUUUAAUGCUGCAGGGGACUACGGUCCUCUCUUGGUCAUCUUCAAAGCCAAGAGGCUAAAAGCAGAGUGGCUUUAUAAUGUUACUCCCAACACAGUAGUGAAGGUGUCCGAUAAUGGCUGGAUAACAACUGAGCUGUUUUUAGAUUGGGGGAAGCAAUUCGUGGACAUGCUCCCUAAGGAUGACCUCAGACCACAUGUGCUGCUGCUGGACGGCCACACCAGUCAUGUAUUCAACAUUGAUUUCCUGAGGCUCAUGCAGUCACACAGGGUACAUGUGGUGUGCUAUCCUUCCCACACCACCCACUGUCUGCAACCAGCCGACAAGUCCCUCUUCAAGUCCCUGAAACAUCAUUGGAAUGAGGAGGGAAGGAGCUUCAUGCGGCUAACAGGAGGGAGAAAGCUCCUUAAGGGGGAGUUUUUCCUUGUUUGGGAGGGCAUGGAGGAGGGCAAGCACAGUCCAGACUGCCCAAGCUGGCUUCAGGGGGACUGGGAUGUACCCAGUAAAUCCCAUGGCUAUACACCCCAAUGUGUAUGA
Long non-coding RNA from Cyprinus carpio carpio, 1152 nucleotides. The record is from Ensembl. NCBI's taxonomy places the organism in Eukaryota, Metazoa, Chordata, Actinopteri, Cypriniformes, Cyprinidae.